RNAcentral lists this ribosomal RNA (380 nucleotides) under uncultured bacterium. RNAcentral describes it as "bacterial SSU rRNA". It matches the Rfam family "Bacterial small subunit ribosomal RNA", at positions 28 to 415 of the family's 1533-position model. The record is from RNAcentral.
GACGAACGCUGGCGGCGUGCCUAACACAUGCAAGUCGAACGAAAUUACGAAGAAAGCUUGCUUUAAUCGUAAUUUAGUGGCGGACGGGUGAGUAACGCGUGAGGACUUGUCGGAUACAGGGGGACAACAGAUGGAAACGUCUGCUAAUACCCCAUAAGCCUUCGGGUAAAAGGAGCAAUCCGGUAUUUGAGAGACUCGCGUUCUAUCAGCUAGUAGGUGGGGUAACGGCCCACCUAGGCCAAGACGGAUAGCCGGACUGAGAGGUCGACCGGCCACACUGGAACUGAGAGACGGUCCAGACUCCUACGGGAGGCAGCAGUGGGGAAUAUUGGGCAAUGGGGGGAACCCUGACCCAGCGACGCCGCGUGGGUGAAGAAAUC